GCCGUGGCAAUAAAAUAAUCGGCAAAUAAUCGCGGGGGUACCGGGUACCGGCCGCGUGGCCCUCGCGCUUGUGACCGUCGCCGUCCGUCCGUGGUGGUACGAGCCGCGGCAGGAGGCCUACGCCGAGGCGCACGAGGCGGCGGUGGAGGCGGAGGCGGAGGUGCCGGCGUCCGCCGCCGCCGCGACAGCCAGGGCCUCUCCCCCGCCGCCGCGCCGCCCCCCGCUCCUCCUCCCCCACGCGCUCGGCCACGACGAGCACAGGCCCUACCCGCCCAGCCACGACGUGCGCGCCGCCGCCAGGCUGGGGUUCAAGCUGGAGGCCCAGACCCACGCGUAGGAGGAGCGGCUGGAGCUCAAGUUCUUCAAGGAGACCAGCGAGAUGUUGCGGUUUUGGCCCAUACACCUCAGCAACCUGCUGCUACACCUCUAACACCACGGCCCGCUGCUAGUACCGGAGAAGCGGUAGCUGCAAGAGCUAGGAAGGACCCACUCACUCGAAUACCAACGAUCAAGUCACUUACCUCAAGUUACCAUCUAGAAAAGAAGGCAAGCAAGCUACUUGACAUGUGACCGCUAUAUAAAAAAAAAAAAACGGGGAAAGACACUCGUACCGGCCACCCUCAAAAAACCCCCGCUAAGAACACUGUGAACCACAGACAAUUAACCCCGUUUACCCUUCCCUCUUCUCCUUCACCUGUAUAUCUCUAUCUCCCUAGUCACUACCUAUAGGCAAAGCAUGACAGCAUACCUCUCGAAAGAACAGGAAAAUAGAAUGAUCACGAGAACCUCUUAUCUAUUGUCCUAUCCCUGUCCGUAAACCAUGUAUACCUGACGUGUAACGUAAAUCUAACACCUGGCUGAUCCUACUUUUUUUACCUAAAUACACCUGGUACCAACGAAUGGUGUCCUUUUUUUUAUGACUCGGCCUCGAUAAUAUCAGGUAGUUUAAACAUAAAUAUAAGAGAAUUGAAGUUCCUUACUUCAGUACGAAAGCGAGUACUUUACAAGUCAGUUUACUAGAUACGUCAUAUACUCCUUAGUGACCCGAUCUUGACCAUCGACUUUUACCUCGUAACUCUGUCACUAUUAUGUACGGUUCAACGAUUGCAUGGACGUACAGUAUAGUUGUUCUAAACACAAGCUUGUUAAUUAGGUAGCCACUUUGACUACGAAUAGGAUGAACUAACGAGAACCAUGAAUUUGUAAAACUGCAACUAAAGUCCACCUUAAUUAAGGCAUUGACGACUCAAGCUUUGCUUUUAUUUGUAAAAAACAUAACAUCUUUAUAACCUUUCCCUUAAACUGAAUUUUUACCAUAGAAUCGACGACUAUGGCUUACUCAAGUGAAGUUCUUAAGUACCCUACCGAUUAGGGAGUAUCUCCCAUAAAUUAGUACAUUAAGUUUAGUAAUAAGUUCUUCGCUUAAGGGAAAGACUUAAUUAACGGCAGAGACUAAAUUGGUCAACAACGUUUCUCGUAUUAAAAACACUAGACUAAACACGGGGUAGAGAGAAUUGAAGUCAAACAUCUCGAUGACGUAGACUGAUACCACAUAGUAAAGGUACUAUACUAACUAUACGAGGAACUGACACCUAUGCUCUUUCCUUGUUGUGAUAAACCUAUACCAAUACUAAAAGCAGUUUCGUUGUCCAUGUUAGGAGAUUUAGUUGUGAAUUCACCCAAGUAAACCUACGAUAUUAGUCAUCGUAUUUUUCACCGAAUCGGAUUUUGUACACUCUUUACUCUAGCAGGUGCUGUUUGCUGGUGGCGGCCAACUUCGGAACUGGUCUAAGGAUUCGUCGAUGUAGUUGAGUAACGACCGGCAGGUCCGCAUGGGAGUACCUCUAGUAUAGUUUCCUUUCUACCACCGACGCGGUGACGGGUCGUCCUUUAACAAUAGUAUACAUGUUGUCCUUUUCGGUGGUCGUGAUUUUACCCUCCGUGGCGGCCGGCCGACCCGUCGCGAGUUGUAUCUGCCCAGGAAGAGACGAUUCUCGUAGAGGUUGUCGGCGCGUUGCGCGGCGCGCGUUUUUUGCGUAAACCGCGCGCGGCAAGCGGACCAAACCGCGCCGGCUGUCGCCACCGAAGUCGUCUACGCAGUUUUAACUCGCGCGCACGCAUCGAGGUCGCCGGCGUGAUUUUACGUCGCGCGCGAUUUGUAACGCAUGUAAAAAAAUUAUUUUACUAUUUAUUUUAAGUAUCUAUUUUUUUUGCUAUGUAUCUAUAAAAUGUAUCAAGGUAUCGUAUCUAUCUAUCUUUUUGAUGAUGAUUUAUCACGUUGCUGUAUUUUUUUUUGAUGAUCUACCACGUUGAUGUAUGCGUUGAUGUCGGAUGAGGGUCAGCAGUAGCAGUAGCGGCGGUAGGAGCGACCAGACCAGGCUCCAUAGCUAGGUGUACAGGUUGGUUGCCAGUAGUAGUCGGCUUUUCUAGCUGAAGGGUGGUAAAACUUGCUACAGCGGGACGCUAUAGCGAUCUCGGAAAGCGGCUGCGGAUAGGUUGGCGAGCAGCGCCGCGGAAACACACAGGAGCGCCGCGGAACGGGUCAUCCGAACGAGCAUCCACUGCAGGAGGCCCACCGCAGCCGCGGUGAGGCGGUACCAGGCGAGCAGGAGUACCCGCUGCUCCUCCGCCGCGACGGCGAGUCGUACGAGGCGUGCCAGAACACGGCACGCUUCUGCUCCGCCG
RNAcentral lists this ribosomal RNA (2685 nucleotides) under Triticum aestivum (bread wheat). Its description in RNAcentral is "partial small subunit ribosomal RNA". The record is from RNAcentral. Lineage: Eukaryota; Viridiplantae; Streptophyta; Magnoliopsida; Poales; Poaceae.